Molecule: ribosomal RNA, 253 nt
Filed under: uncultured bacterium
Lineage: Bacteria
Description: partial 16S ribosomal RNA
Rfam family: Bacterial small subunit ribosomal RNA
Source: RNAcentral
UACGGAGGAUCCGAGCGUUAUCCGGAUUUAUUGGGUUUAAAGGGUGCGUAGGAGGUUUGAUAAGUUAGAGGUGAAAUGUCGGGGCUCAACCCCGAAACUGCCUCUAAUACUGUUGGACUAGAGAAUAGUUGCGGUAGGCGGAAUGUAUGGUGUAGCGGUGAAAUGCUUAGAGAUCAUACAGAACACCGAUUGCGAAGGCAGCUCACCAAACUAUAUCUGACGUUGAGGCACGAAAGCGUGGGUAGCAAACAGG